RNAcentral lists this ribosomal RNA (453 nucleotides) under uncultured bacterium. Its description in RNAcentral is "bacterial SSU rRNA". It matches the Rfam family "Bacterial small subunit ribosomal RNA", at positions 46 to 525 of the family's 1533-position model. The record is from RNAcentral.
GGAUUAGGCAUGCAAGUCGAGCGAGGAAAGUUGUAGCAAUACGGCUUAUUCGAGCGGCGUAAGGGGCAGUAAUACCUGGGAACGUACCCUGAGGUCGGGGAUAGCUGCUGGAAACGGCGAGUAAUACCCGAUGAUCUUGGAAAAGCAAAGGCUUGCCGCCUUGGGAGCGGCCCAGGCGAUAUUAGCUAGUUGGUGAGGUAACGGCUUACCAAGGCAAAGAUGUCUAGCGGGUGUGAGAGCACGACCCGCGCCACUGGCACUGAGACACUGGCCAGACACCUACGGGUGGCUGCAGUCGAGAAUCUUCGGCAAUGAGCGCAAGCUUGACCGAGCGACGCCGCGUGCGGGAUGAAGGCCUUCGGGUUGUAAACCGCUUUGGUCCGAGAGAAAGGGCAACUUGAUCGAUCGGAGAAACAAGGACGGGCUAAGUUCGUGCCAGCAGCCGCGGUAAUA